UGAAACACGGACCAAGGAGUCUAACAUAUGCGCGAGCUAAUGGGUGGAAAACCCAAAGGCGCAAUAAAAGUAAACGCUGUUUCGGACAGCUAAGGUACGAUCCUAGAAUCCGAGCGAUUUUGGGCGCAGUACCGUCCCGUCCCGACCGCAUAUCGGUAGGGCGGAGAUAGAGUGCAUACGUUGGGACCCGAAAGAUGGUGAACUAUGCCUGAGCAGAGCGAAGCCAGAGGAAACUCUGGUGGAGGUUCGUAGCGGUUCUGACGUGCAAAUCGAUCGUCAGACUUGGGUAUAGGGGCGAAAGACUAAUCGAACCAUCUAGUAGCUGGUUCCCCCUGAAGUUUCCCUCAGGAUAGCUGAUACUCGGGAAAUAACGAAGUUUUAUCCGGUAAAGCGAAUGAUUAGAGGCAUUGGGGACGAAUUGACCUCAACCUAUGCUCAUACUUUAAAUGGGUUAGAAGUCUAGCUUGCUCGAUGGAAGCCCGACGUAAGAUUUCGAGUAUCUGGGUGGGCCAUUUUUGGGUAAGCA
Molecule: ribosomal RNA, 526 nt
Filed under: Ironus sp. KH-2018
Lineage: Eukaryota; Metazoa; Nematoda; Enoplea; Enoplida; Ironidae
Description: eukaryotic LSU rRNA
Rfam family: Eukaryotic large subunit ribosomal RNA
Source: RNAcentral